RNAcentral lists this ribosomal RNA (208 nucleotides) under uncultured bacterium. RNAcentral's name for it is "partial 16S ribosomal RNA". It matches the Rfam family "Bacterial small subunit ribosomal RNA", at positions 1286 to 1500 of the family's 1533-position model. The record is from RNAcentral.
UCUCAGUUCGGAUUGGAGUCUGCAACCCGACUCCAUGAAGCUGGAUUCGCUAGUAAUCGCGCAUCAGCCACGGCGCGGUGAAUACGUUCCCGGGCCCUUGUACACACCGCCCGUCAAGCCAUGGAAGCCGGGGGUGCCUGAAGUGCGCUGCCGCGAGGAGCGCCCUAGGGUAAAACCGGUGACUGGGGCUAAGUCGUAACAAGGUAGC